GUCAAACUGCUUUCGACUGUAUAAAGACUAAAAAUGUUCCCAAACCAAAUAAAGACAACACUGAAAGUCUUCCAGAAAAACAUCUCUAAUGAUGAAAGCUCUUUGUACUUUGACCUUUUAUGCCAAGACUUCUAUCAGGAACUUUUGGCAGGUACCUUGAGUCAUGUGAUGACGACUGAGGAUGACAGAACGUUCUCAGCAGCAGCUCCAGAACUGUGGAACGAUCUGUCCUCUAGUUUACGGUCACAUGAACAACAACCGGAUGUUGCCCCUGGAGCAAAACACAAAGAGGACGUAGUUGGAGGAUGAUGACACGGCAUGUUUUCCAAUGACUUCUCGCGUGAACAAAACUUCUCCACGUCUGAAUUGUGUUUCUUACUUUACAUAAAUGUCAUUUGCGAAUCUGUGUUUUUUUCAACAUUAGGGGAAGAUGAACAAAGUUGUAAACAAACUGUUGACACACCUGCAACAGGCAGAGAGCACUGCAUUUAGCAAAGAUUUACAUCAAGACUUUGACUAGGGCAUUGUAACACAUGAAUGGGAUUCAUCUAAAUCGCUCCAUUUUAGCUCUGUCACAGUGUUUAUUUUUUGCUGCCUUACUAGAAGGUGAAUCUCACACCAAUUCUAAAGUUUUUAGUUUAUUGUAUCUCCACUGAAUUGAGCAGGUUCCUCUUUGCUGCUGACGCCCUCUGGCAUGGUGCCACUACCAUCGGCCACUGUGAGAUUGAUCUGAUUGGGGUGAUGCACUGUUUUUUUCUACCAGACACAGCAGACACAGUUCAGAAGGUUCAGUUUUAGUCUCAUCUCACCAGACCACCAAAGCAGACGGAGGAAAUGUUUGCUGCAUCCCGUACAUGCCUCGUGGCAAACUGCAAUUGGAAGCCCAUGUGGGGUUAUGAACAGGCAUUGUAUGUAGGCAUCAGAUUCAGAGGCCAACAAAGACGAAGCAGAGCCAGCCCCGAAAAAGUCUCACUUUCUGCAGAACAUGAUUCCAGAAACAACAGGGAGAUGUGACAUUUGCUUUGUCGACAGUUGGAGAUCUCAUGAUUUUAGUGUCACAUUUGUUUUGCAGAGCUCAUAUUGUCUGCAGUGGCAUUGUGUUGUUGUCCCGGAAGAUUGCCUUAACUCUUAUACCUUCCACCUCCUACGCGGUUCAUUGUUCACACUUCCACAAAGUCGCACGACAUGUCCUUGGGGUAAUGUUGUUGUAUGUGACAACACAAUGCCAUUCCAGAUUUGAGUGAUGCUCAGCUGCUCUUAACAGACACUGAACCAGAUCAAACUCAGGACCUUAGGUCUCGUAUCCAUCUGUCAUGCAUACCACACACAGGCAUGCAUAUAGAAUUAAAACACUCAAAAAUGUGUUUUGUUUACAAGAAAUAUGAGUCAAGACUGGCUAUUUUCUUACAGUCUAACAAGGUAUUACCAUUUUAAGCUUUAGUUCUGUGCAUAAUACAAAUUUAUUUUUUUAGUUAGCCACUGAUAAGUGAUAACAUCACAGUGUGGACUGCAUUUGAUUCUGUUAAGUUUAAAAUUUAUAAAACUUAAAUACUUAGUCCAACCUGAAUUGGAUGAUACUUUACAGAACAGAUUUUUAAAAACACACGUUGUGAUUUUGUAAAACGUUCAUUCUAUUUGUAAAACCCCAAAAAGGGAAUGUCAAAUCCUUUCUAGGCCAAAGAAAACUGAAGGAAAAUGGUGAGUCUUAAAAUAAUGCUAAAAUCUAGUCACUUUCUCAUGAAACUCGGUAUUGUUUAUCGUCUCAUUUUUAUGUAAUGAAGUACAUUCUGCAGUAAAAAUAAUGUCAGCUCUUUAUGUGGAUUUUUGACCUUUCUUCCAAAACUGUUUGUGAGGUCAAACACUGAUGUUGGAUGAACAUGCAUGAUUCUCUCUCUGUUUUAACAGACCCCAAAGGUGUUCUAUUGAGUUGGGGUCAAGUUUCACCACACCCAAUUCUCCAAUCAGUUGAACUAAGGGGUUAAACGCAACUUCUAAAAAAAAACGUUCAACACCUUACACCACUUUGAACCAAACUCUACAUUUGAUGCAAUGCAUCCAGACAAAUGCUGGUCUCCUGGUGACUGCCAAACCAGUCCAAGAGACAUGAGUCUUUACUCCAAACAGGACGUUUCUACUGCUUUUGUUUGCAAUGAA
Long non-coding RNA from Gambusia affinis (western mosquitofish), 2154 nucleotides. RefSeq lists it as uncharacterized. The transcript is spliced from 3 exons. The record is from RefSeq and is a predicted model, not a curated record. Lineage: Eukaryota; Metazoa; Chordata; Actinopteri; Cyprinodontiformes; Poeciliidae.